AAAAGGCGGCUGCUAUACAUGCAAGUCGAGCGGACCUUUUAAAGCUUGCUUUUGAAAGGUCAGCGGCGGACGGGUGAGUAACACGUGGGCAACCUGCCUGUAAGACUGGGAUAACUUCGGGAAACCGGAGCUAAUACCGGAUAAUAUAAGGAACCUCCUGGUUCUUUAUUGAAAGAUGGUUUCGGCUAUCACUUACAGAUGGGCCCGCGGCGCAUUAGCUAGUUGGUGAGGUAACGGCUCACCAAGGCGACGAUGCGUAGCCGACCUGAGAGGGUGAUCGGCCACACUGGGACUGAGACACGGCCCAGACUCCUACGGGAGGCAGCAGUAGGGAAUCUUCCACAAUGGACGAAAGUCUGAUGGAGCAACGCCGCGUGAGCGAUGAAAGGCCUUCGGGUCGUAAAGCUCUGUUGUUAGGGAAGAACAAGUGCGAGAGUAACUGCUCGCACCUUGACGGUACCUAACCCAGAAAGCCACGGGCUAACUACGUGGCCGAGGCAGGCCGGCGGUAAUACGUAGUGGCAAGCGUUGUCCGGAAUUAUUGGGGCGUAAAGCGCCGCCGCAGGUGGUCGUUAAGUCCUGAUGUGAAAGCCCCACGGCUCAUCGUGCAGGUCAUUUGCAACUGGGGGGACUUGAGUGGCAAAAAAAGAAGUGGAACUUCUGGUGUACGGUGAAUGGCUGAAGAAUUGGGAGGAACCCAGUGGCAGGCGACUUUUCGUAUCGUACCUGAACACUUGAGGGCUCGAAUCAGUGGGGAACAAACGGAUU
Molecule: ribosomal RNA, 768 nt
Filed under: Sutcliffiella horikoshii
Lineage: Bacteria; Bacillati; Bacillota; Bacilli; Caryophanales; Bacillaceae
Description: bacterial SSU rRNA
Rfam family: Bacterial small subunit ribosomal RNA
Source: RNAcentral